Styela clava is the source of this 705-nucleotide non-coding RNA. Lineage: Eukaryota; Metazoa; Chordata; Ascidiacea; Stolidobranchia; Styelidae. The record is from RefSeq and is a predicted model, not a curated record.
UGUACAUGAAAUGAAAUAAACUAACAAUGCACAUAGGCAGCAUAUCAUGCAUUCCUAUUACUAAACAAGCAAAUAUCAAAGUUCUGGAUAUAAAAAUCAGAGCAACAGUUAUCAUCGGAGUGCUACACAUUGAUUAAAUGAAAAAAUUGCACAGUUGCCUACUUCAUGUCAGAGCUGUCUCAUGGAGAAUGAUAGAUACAAAUUGACACAUGAGUUCGAUUUCGACGAGUCACUGAAGUACUUGAAUCAGACGUCAAAUAUGUUUCAUCAAUCUACACAACUCUGUAUGCAAUAGCAAAAGUCAUUUGUCACCUUCGUACCUUUGUUGUGAGUAGAACCUCCGAUCUCCAAUGCAUCAUCAUCAGGAAAGAGGCACGGGGCUUGAAAGACCACCAUCGAGUGAAGCAAAUCAACAGUGUUCACCACUAAAAGCGACCGAGUCGUUCGUACAUUCAGGAAACGAUCGAAUGGAAGAUUCAAGUACUGAAGUCAACUGAAGAUAAAAAUCAACAACAGCCUACAAUUGAAGAGUCGCAAUUGAAAAUAUGCCAGAUGGUCGACAUGAACCACAACAAGCUUCCUGCAUUCAAGCGUGACGUUGGUGCGAUGUCAAACAACAAUGAAGAUCAUUCAGCAAAGUCAAAUUCAGGAACGAAAACAAAAGGAAGCAACCAGACUACUAAGUGGAAGGAAAAAUUACAAGGG